RNAcentral lists this ribosomal RNA (395 nucleotides) under uncultured bacterium. Its description in RNAcentral is "partial 16S ribosomal RNA". It matches the Rfam family "Bacterial small subunit ribosomal RNA", at positions 523 to 918 of the family's 1533-position model. The record is from RNAcentral.
AUACGUAGGGUGCAAGCGUUAAUCGGAAUUACUGGGCGUAAAGCGUGCGCAGGCGGUUUUGUAAGACAGAGGUGAAAUCCCCGGGCUCAACCUGGGAACUGCCUUUGUGACUGCAAGGCUAGAGUACGGCAGAGGGGGAUGGAAUUCCGCGUGUAGCAGUGAAAGGCGUAGAUAUGCGGAGGAACACCGAUGGCGAAGGCAAUUCACUGGGACUGUACUGAUGCUCAUGCGCGAUAGCGUAGGGAGCAAACAGGAUUAGAUACCCGUGUAGUCCGCGCCCAAAACGAUGUCAACUGGUUGUUGGGUCUUCAUUGACUCAAUAACGAAGCUAACACGUGAAGGUGACCGCCUGGGGAGUACGGCCGCAAGGUUGAAACUCAAAGGAAUUGACGGAG